This 269-nucleotide ribosomal RNA is filed under the name Clostridioides difficile. RNAcentral's name for it is "partial 23S ribosomal RNA". It matches the Rfam family "Bacterial large subunit ribosomal RNA", at positions 1613 to 1895 of the family's 2925-position model. The record is from RNAcentral. Lineage: Bacteria; Bacillati; Bacillota; Clostridia; Peptostreptococcales; Peptostreptococcaceae.
AAAAGUCUCUAUCGAGGUUAAAGGUACCCGUACCGCAAACCGACACAGGUGGGUGAGGAGAGUAUCCUAAGGCCAGCGAGAGAACUGUUGUUAAGGAACUCGGCAAAAUGACCCCGUAACUUAGGGAUAAGGGGUGCCACCAUCAGGUGGCAGCAGAGAAUAGGCCCAAGCGACUGUUUACCAAAAACAUAGGUUUCUGCUAAGUCGCAAGACGAUGUAUAGGAGCUGACGCCUGCCCGGUGCUGGAAGGUUAAGGGGAUCUGUUAGAG